UAACUUUCAACAACGGAUCUCUUGGCUCUCGCAUCGAUGAAGAACGCAGCGAAUUGCGAUAAGUAAUGUGAAUUGCAGAAUUCAGUGAAUCAUCGAAUCUUUGAACGCACCUUGCGCUCUCUGGUAUUCCGGAGAGCAUGCCUGUUUGAGUAUCAU
Molecule: ribosomal RNA, 156 nt
Filed under: Cutaneotrichosporon cavernicola
Lineage: Eukaryota; Fungi; Basidiomycota; Tremellomycetes; Trichosporonales; Trichosporonaceae
Description: 5.8S ribosomal RNA
Rfam family: 5.8S ribosomal RNA
About the family: 5.8S ribosomal RNA (5.8S rRNA) is a component of the large subunit of the eukaryotic ribosome. It is transcribed by RNA polymerase I as part of the 45S precursor that also contains 18S and 28S rRNA. Functionally, it is thought that 5.8S rRNA may be involved in ribosome translocation.
Source: RNAcentral